UUGCACGCUGGCGGCAGGCCUCACCCCUGCAAGUCGAGCGGAUGAAGGGAGCUUGCUCCUGGAUUCAGCGGCGGACGGGUGAGUAAUGCCUAGGAAUCUGCCUGGUAGUGGGGGAUAACGUCCGGAAACGGGCGCUAAUACCGCAUACGUCCUGAGGGAGAAAGUGGGGGAUCUUCGGACCUCACGCUAUCAGAUGAGCCUAGGUCGGAUUAGCUAGUUGGUGGGGUAAAGGCCUACCAAGGCGACGAUCCGUAACUGGUCUGAGAGGAUGAUCAGUCACACUGGAAGUGAGACACGGUCCAGACUCCUACGGGAGGCAGCAGUGGGGAAUAUUGGACAAUGGGCGAAAGCCUGAUCCAGCCAUGCCGCGUGGGGGAAGAAGGUCUUCGGAUUGUAAAGCACUUUAAGUUGGGAGGAAGGGCAGUAAGUUAAUACCUUGCUGUUUUGACGUUACCAACAGAAUAAGCACCGGCUAACUUCGUG
RNAcentral lists this ribosomal RNA (483 nucleotides) under uncultured bacterium. Its description in RNAcentral is "partial 16S ribosomal RNA". It matches the Rfam family "Bacterial small subunit ribosomal RNA", at positions 30 to 507 of the family's 1533-position model. The record is from RNAcentral.